Molecule: ribosomal RNA, 387 nt
Filed under: Nilssonia hurum
Lineage: Eukaryota; Metazoa; Chordata; Testudines; Trionychidae
Description: partial 12S ribosomal RNA
Rfam family: Bacterial small subunit ribosomal RNA
Source: RNAcentral
UAAACCUAGAUGUUUACAAUACAAAAACAUCCGCCAGAAAACUACGAGCAAAACGCUUAAAACUCCAAGGACUUGGCGGUACCUCAAACCCCCCUAGAGGAGCCUGUUCUAUAAUCGAUAAUCCACGUUAAACCUUACCAUCCUUUGCCAACCCAGCCUAUAUACCACCGUCACAGCCUACCUUAUGAAAGACAAAAAGUAAGCUCAACAACUCCAACAGCUAAAAAGUCAGGUCAAGGUGUAGCCAACUAAGAUGGAAGAAAUGGGCUACAUUUUCUACCAUAGAAAUAACCACAGAACAGAAACAUGAAACAUGAUCUGAAUAAAGAAGGAUUUAGUAGUAAAUUAAGAACAGAGAGCUUAAUUUAAAACGGACCUGAGGUGCGC